UAGCUCUUUCUCGAUUCCGUGGGUGCUGGUGCAUGGCCGUUCUUAGUUGGUGGAGCGGUUUGUCUGGUUAAUUCCGAUAACGAACGAGACUAUGGCAUGCUGACAUAGCUUACUAGACACGCGACCCGCGAGCGGUCGGGCGUCCCCCCCAUUUCUUAGAGGGACAAGUGGCGUUCAGCCACCGGAGAUUGAGCAAUAACAGUUCUGUGACCCCUAGAGAUGUCGGGGCUUCAACGGCGCGUUACACUGACUGGCUCAGCGUGUGCCUACCCUACGCCCGGCAAGCGCGGGUAACCCGUUGAACCCCAUUUCGUGAUGGGGUUCGGGGAUUGCAAUUAUUCCCCAUGAACGAGGAAUUCCCAGUAAGU
Molecule: ribosomal RNA, 368 nt
Filed under: uncultured eukaryote
Lineage: Eukaryota
Description: bacterial SSU rRNA
Rfam family: Eukaryotic small subunit ribosomal RNA
Source: RNAcentral